AACGAACGCUGGCGGCAGGCCUAACACAUGCAAGUCGAGCGAGGACUUCGGUUCUAGCGGCGGACGGGUGAGUAACGCGUGGGAAUGUGCCCUUCUCUACGGAAUAGCCCUGGGAAACUGGGAGUAAUACCGUAUACGCCCUUUUGGGGAAAGAUUUAUCGGAGAAGGAUCAGCCCGCGUUGGAUUAGGUAGUUGGUGGGGUAAUGGCCUACCAAGCCGACGAUCCAUAGCUGGUUUGAGAGGAUGAUCAGCCACACUGGGACUGAGACACGGCCCAGACUCCUACGGGAGGCAGCAGUGGGGAAUCUUAGACAAUGGGGGCAACCCUGAUCUAGCCAUGCCGCGUGAGUGAUGAAGGCCUUAGGGUUGCAAAGCUCUUUCAGCUGGGAAGAUAAUGACGGUACCAGCAGAAGAAGCCCCGGCUAACUCCGUG
This 433-nucleotide ribosomal RNA is filed under the name uncultured bacterium. RNAcentral describes it as "partial 16S ribosomal RNA". It matches the Rfam family "Bacterial small subunit ribosomal RNA", at positions 29 to 507 of the family's 1533-position model. The record is from RNAcentral.